GUUUCCUUAAAACCCAGAAGCACGAGGCAAAUGCACGACACUCUUUGUGCACCUUCUUUGAUUCACCACAUUGUAAUUCUACUAUAUGCAUCUCUUUCCUUAUCCUUCAAUGGAAAAUAACAUAGUGAAGAAAGGAGGUUUUUUCUUGGUUGUCAAUUUAUAUGCUUUUGUUUGGUUUAACUGGAUGAUAGUCAAAAGCUCAUCUUUCCAUUGUCUUCCUUCACCAUGUAACUGGUGUUCAUUGUUUUUGCUAUAUAUUCGUUUGACAGUCUCGCUCAUUAAUAUAAUUCUCAGUUUACUUCUCAACAGAUAUAACCUACGGCAACUCGAUGCUCAUGGUUCUCAUUCUGUUAUCACAACUUGUUCUUAUGCUUGUUACUUUGACCUGCCAAG
This 393-nucleotide long non-coding RNA is filed under the name Phoenix dactylifera (date palm). RNAcentral's name for it is "long non-coding RNA (PDAC_LNC020420)". The record is from RNAcentral. Lineage: Eukaryota; Viridiplantae; Streptophyta; Magnoliopsida; Arecales; Arecaceae.